UGCAGUCGAGCGGACAGAAGGGAGCUUGCUCCCGGAUGUUAGCGGCGGACGGGUGAGUAACACGUGGGUAACCUGCCUGUAAGACUGGGAUAACUCCGGGAAACCGGAGCUAAUACCGGAUAGUUCCUUGAACCGCAUGGUUCAAGGAUGAAAGACGGUUUCGGCUGUCACUUACAGAUGGACCCGCGGCGCAUUAGCUAGUUGGUGAGGUAACGGCUCACCAAGGCGACGAUGCGUAGCCGACCUGAGAGGGUGAUCGGCCACACUGGGACUGAGACACGGCCCAGACUCCUACGGGAGGCAGCAGUAGGGAAUCUUCCGCAAUGGACGAAAGUCUGACGGAGCAACGCCGCGUGAGUGAUGAAGGUUUUCGGAUCGUAAAGCUCUGUUGUUAGGGAAGAACAAGUGCAAGAGUAACUGCUUGCACCUUGACGGUACCUAACCAGAAAGCCACGGCUAACUACGUGCCAGCAGCCGCGGUAAUACGUAGGUGGCAAGCGUUGUCCGGAAUUAUUGGGCGUAAAGGGCUCGCAGGCGGUUUCUUAAGUCUGAUGUGAAAGCCCCCGGCUCAACCGGGGAGGGUCAUUGGAAACUGGGAAACUUGAGUGCAGAAGAGGAGAGUGGAAUUCCACGUGUAGCGGUGAAAUGCGUAGAGAUGUGGAGGAACACCAGUGGCGAAAGCGACUCUCUGGUCUGUAACUGACGCUGAGGAGCGAAAGCGUGGGGAGC
This 729-nucleotide ribosomal RNA is filed under the name Bacillus sp. (in: firmicutes). Its description in RNAcentral is "bacterial SSU rRNA". It matches the Rfam family "Bacterial small subunit ribosomal RNA", at positions 56 to 769 of the family's 1533-position model. The record is from RNAcentral. Lineage: Bacteria; Bacillati; Bacillota; Bacilli; Caryophanales; Bacillaceae.